CACAAAUGUAACUCUAAAAUAUAAUUUGGUGGGGCUAAGUUAGGAAAAACUACAAGACCUAUAUGGUAUCAAAACAGUAUGGCUGAAAUCAGAGGAAAGACAAAGGGACUGCUGAUGACCCUGAGAGCUGGAAACUCCCAACUAUCAGGCACCCCUAGAAAGCACAGUGGGCUUUUCUGAGAACAACAGGAGACAAUGGGAGAGGAUUUUGAAAGUUCCACUUUGAGAGUAAUGAGGGCAAAUACAAGUGGCCUAAAGAAUGAUCUGAUGGUCCCAGAGAGUUUUGGGGUCUGGGGUCUAUAAACUCUCAAAAGUGACAGACAAAUCAACCCUUACAUUACAGAGCUUAGCCCUAAGGAGAAACUGCUGGUAUUCUAAGCCACAGAGAGCAGAACAGGGACUAUAAGAGUAAGGAAAAACAAGGUGAAGAUAAAACUGAGAAGAGUAGCAGAGGAGGAGGAUCUAAGAGAGCUGUUGUGAGGAUCAAAUAACAGUAAAUGUGAAAGAAGUUUAUAAAUUGCUGAGUGCAAUAUAAGCACAGCUUCAGGGAUUAAAGCCAGAGACCACAAAUGUAAAGCCAGGCCAAGAGUCAGCCUCAGGAUUAAGGACCCCAAGAGGCUGGGGAGGUCAAAAAUCACCCUGAAGACCCCAUCUGUGGAGAUAGGGUGUGUCUCACAGAGAGGUACACCCACAGUGUUUAUGAGGGUUAGGAAACUCCAACACCUUAUGCAAGGAGAUGCCAGC
RNAcentral lists this long non-coding RNA (744 nucleotides) under Homo sapiens (human). RNAcentral describes it as "HSALNT0380647". Lineage: Eukaryota; Metazoa; Chordata; Mammalia; Primates; Hominidae. The record is from RNAcentral.